GCAUGAGGGGCCCAGGAGGGCUAGAUGGUGGUUUUAACACUAUAGGAUCAGGAAUACAUGUUUGUGUUCCUGACCCUAUAGUGAUCCUUUAACAUGUGCCCAUAAAUCACUAUUGUGCUGGGAUUUAUUAGAUCAACCGUGCAGUGUUACAGAAUGUUGUAGGAGAACUACUACCUGGAUUAUUACAAAAGAUGGAAAUCCAGGGGAUGAGUCUAUUGUAGUCUGGAGCGCACCUUUAACAAUGAGAAUUGUCACACAUUUAAAGGGAAC
Molecule: non-coding RNA, 270 nt
Organism: Pelobates cultripes (western spadefoot toad)
Lineage: Eukaryota; Metazoa; Chordata; Amphibia; Anura; Pelobatidae
Source: the annotation of a GenBank genome assembly